UACAGAGGUCCCAAGCGUUGUUCGGAUUCACUGGGCGUAAAGGGUGCGUAGGUGGUGAGGUAAGUCGGAUGUGAAAUCUCCGGGCUCAACCCGGAAAUGGCAUUGGAAACUACCUUGCUGGAGGAUUUGAGGGGGGAUUGGAAUACUUGGUGUAGCAGUGAAAUGCGUAGAUAUCAAGUGGAACACCAGUGGCGAAGGCGGGUCUCUGGGCCGAUACUGACGCUGAGGUGCGAAAGCGUGGGGAGCAAACAGG
Molecule: ribosomal RNA, 253 nt
Filed under: uncultured bacterium
Lineage: Bacteria
Description: partial 16S ribosomal RNA
Rfam family: Bacterial small subunit ribosomal RNA
Source: RNAcentral